Molecule: long non-coding RNA, 461 nt
Filed under: Zonotrichia albicollis (white-throated sparrow)
Lineage: Eukaryota; Metazoa; Chordata; Aves; Passeriformes; Passerellidae
Description: lncRNA (ENSZALG00000008405.1)
Source: RNAcentral
GCUUCAGCAAAGAAAGCUCCUGAACAAUGGCUUUUUAAAUGGAAGAAGUUGCAUACAGAAGCUUAGAGGAUGAGUUGACCUUGUACAAACUUAGCCAACCUCAGCAAUCUCCUGCCAGAUGUGUGCUUCAUUAUUUAAGUGAUACCACACUGUCAGACUCCUCCUGAAAUGAAGUGGACAUGCCAAUGCAGCGUCUGGCCCUCAGAUCCUCAGUUCCUAGUGGGCAAUACAAAAGGCACAGCAGGGUCUGGGGAUGCACAAAGCAGCAGAAGUCAGCACAGGCACUGUGGAGAGCAGCCUGCUCCGGGAAGGGGAUGAGCAGGAAUCGCUCAGCUGAAUCAGUGCAAGCCACACCAUGAGUGCAUUUCAUAAGCACGUUUACAAAGCAUACUGGGACUCUUGCAGGGAGCAUGGGGGACUUGGGGCAAUAUUUUUCACCUAACUUGAUGUUUUCUGGGGAG